This 73-nucleotide transfer RNA is filed under the name Clostridium botulinum. RNAcentral describes it as "tRNA-Thr". It matches the Rfam family "tRNA". From Rfam's summary of the family: Transfer RNA (tRNA) molecules are approximately 80 nucleotides in length. Their secondary structure includes four short double-helical elements and three loops (D, anti-codon, and T loops). Lineage: Bacteria; Bacillati; Bacillota; Clostridia; Eubacteriales; Clostridiaceae. The record is from RNAcentral.
GGCAUGGCUCAAUUGGUAGAGCAGCUGACUUGUAAUCAGCAGGUUGUAGGUUCAAGUCCUAUUGCCAGCUCCA